RNAcentral lists this ribosomal RNA (274 nucleotides) under uncultured bacterium. RNAcentral's name for it is "partial 16S ribosomal RNA". It matches the Rfam family "Bacterial small subunit ribosomal RNA", at positions 523 to 796 of the family's 1533-position model. The record is from RNAcentral.
AUACGGAGGGGGUUAGCGUUACUCGGAAUCACUGGGCGUAAAGCGCGCGCAGGCGGUUUGAUAAGUUGGAUGUGAAAUCCUAUGGCUCAACCAUAGAACUGCAUCCAAAACUGUCAAGCUAGAGUCUGGGAGGGGAAGAUGGAAUUAGUUGUGUAGGGGUAAAAUCCGUAGAGAUACCUAGGAAUACCAAAAGCGAAGGCGAUCUUCUGGAACAGUACUGACGCUGAGGCGCGAAAGCGUGGGGAGCAAACAGGAUUAGAAACCCCUGUAGUCC